GUCCCCGUAGCACAGUGGUUAGUGCGCCUGACUACGAAGAAUUGUAUCUUUCGAUCAGGAGGCCGCAUGUUCAAUCCAUGCCUGGGAUU
This is a non-coding RNA of Kwoniella pini CBS 10737, 89 nucleotides long. NCBI's taxonomy places the organism in Eukaryota, Fungi, Basidiomycota, Tremellomycetes, Tremellales, Cryptococcaceae. The record is from the annotation of a GenBank genome assembly.